RNAcentral lists this small nuclear RNA (18 nucleotides) under Arabidopsis thaliana (thale cress). RNAcentral's name for it is "snRNA_16654". Lineage: Eukaryota; Viridiplantae; Streptophyta; Magnoliopsida; Brassicales; Brassicaceae. The record is from RNAcentral.
GUUCGUCUGACUUGGGUA